CCCAGGUAAGUCAAACAUCAAAGACCUAACAAAGGACAAUUGUGCCUGAAAUCCUAUCAAAAUCAAGGUGGGAAUUUUCAGCCCAUUUGGUUUUUUCAAAGUCUCUGUCAAUCUCUGUCAACCCAGUAAGGCUUCAUCACCGGAACCCACAGGACUGGAGGGACCUUUAAAAAUGCUGUGAUUGCCCUGAACUUGUAUCCUAGGCUUUGGGAGGAAGGAAAGUAUCACCUUCUGCUCCCUCCUGCAGCAAGAGCUGGG
Molecule: long non-coding RNA, 258 nt
Organism: Melospiza melodia melodia
Lineage: Eukaryota; Metazoa; Chordata; Aves; Passeriformes; Passerellidae
Exons: 3
Source: RefSeq, a predicted model, not a curated record